CUCUAUGGAAUCUGAGUACUACAG
This 24-nucleotide non-coding RNA is filed under the name Cricetulus griseus (Chinese hamster). Lineage: Eukaryota; Metazoa; Chordata; Mammalia; Rodentia; Cricetidae. The record is from RNAcentral.